AUGGCCGGCAUGAAGCUUCCGCCGCCGCCCACGCGCUCGACGAUCACCACCACGGCGAGCGCCGGCUCCCACGAGCUCAAGGUGGAGGGCUACUCCGUGACCAAGCUGCUCGUCGACGGUGAGCACAUCGAGUCCAGCAAGUUCAAGGCGGCCGGCCACGACUUUCAGAUCUGCUACUACCCGAACAAGUGUUGUUGCAACAUUGGGGCAACCCUAGCUACCUCUCCCUCUCACGGCUGGACGGAGGUAGAAGAAGACACAAGACACAAGAAAUUCCGGGCCGGCGCACGAACGCCGCCGUGGGCGCAUGCACGCCCUAAUCUUUCCUCUCCUUUACAAUGUCUACAUGGCUGGCUCCAACUCAACCAACCAAUACACCGGGGGUGGGUUUUAUACCCAACACGCACACACACAGCCAGGCAACAACUUGCCCGGCUCUUAUGCACACGACUUGCUCCACUACAUGCACUCACGCACUAA
RNAcentral lists this ribosomal RNA (480 nucleotides) under Triticum aestivum (bread wheat). RNAcentral's name for it is "partial small subunit ribosomal RNA". Lineage: Eukaryota; Viridiplantae; Streptophyta; Magnoliopsida; Poales; Poaceae. The record is from RNAcentral.